RNAcentral lists this long non-coding RNA (248 nucleotides) under Homo sapiens (human). RNAcentral describes it as "non-protein coding lnc-HOXA11-2:2". Lineage: Eukaryota; Metazoa; Chordata; Mammalia; Primates; Hominidae. The record is from RNAcentral.
AUGCCAGGCAAUUCCAAAGGUGAAAACGCAGCCAACUGGCUCACGGCAAAGAGUGGUCGGAAGAAGCGCUGCCCCUACACGAAGCACCAGACACUGGAGCUGGAGAAGGAGUUUCUGUUCAAUAUGUACCUUACUCGAGAGCGGCGCCUAGAGAUUAGCCGCAGCGUCCACCUCACGGACAGACAAGUGAAAAUCUGGUUUCAGAACCGCAGGAUGAAACUGAAGAAAAUGAAUCGAGAAAACCGGAU